GCUUGUCUCAAAGAUUAAGCCAUGCAUGUCUAAGUAUAAGCAAUUAUACCGUGAAACUGCGAAUGGCUCAUUAAAUCAGUUAUCGUUUAUUUGAUAGUACCUUACUACUUGGAUAACCGUGGUAAUUCUAGAGCUAAUACAUGCUGAAAACCCUGACUUCGGAAAGGGUGUAUUUAUUAGAUAAAAAACCAAUGCCCUUUGGGCUCUUUGGUGAUUCAUGAUAACUUAACGGAUCGCAUGGCCUUGCGCCGGCGACGGUUCAUUCAAAUUUCUGCCCUAUCAACUUUCGAUGGUAAGGUAUUGGCUUACCAUGGUUUCAACGGGUAACGGGGAAUUAGGGUUCGAUUCCGGAGAGGGAGCCUGAGAAACGGCUACCACAUCCAAGGAAGGCAGCAGG
Molecule: ribosomal RNA, 397 nt
Rfam family: Eukaryotic small subunit ribosomal RNA